GACGUAGGGGGCGAGCGUUGUCCGGAUUCAUUGGGCGUAAAGCGCGCGUAGGCGGCUGCGCAAGUCGGUUGUGAAAUUCCGGGGCUCAACCCCGGAACUGCGUCCGAUACUGCGUGGCUAGAGGUAGGUAGGGGAGAUCGGAAUUCCUGGUGUAGCGGUGAAAUGCGCAGAUAUCAGGAGGAACACCGGUGGCGAAGGCGGAUCUCUGGGCCUUACCUGACGCUCAGGCGCGAAAGCUAGGGGAGCAAACGGG
RNAcentral lists this ribosomal RNA (253 nucleotides) under uncultured bacterium. RNAcentral's name for it is "partial 16S ribosomal RNA". It matches the Rfam family "Bacterial small subunit ribosomal RNA", at positions 524 to 776 of the family's 1533-position model. The record is from RNAcentral.